RNAcentral lists this ribosomal RNA (460 nucleotides) under uncultured bacterium. RNAcentral describes it as "partial 16S ribosomal RNA". It matches the Rfam family "Bacterial small subunit ribosomal RNA", at positions 338 to 795 of the family's 1533-position model. The record is from RNAcentral.
CCUACGGGUGGCAGCAGUGAGGAAUAUUGGUCAAUGGACGCAAGUCUGAACCAGCCAAGCCGCGUGCAGGAAGACGGCUCUACGAGUUGUAAACUGCUUUUGUACGAGGGUAAACUCAGAUACGCGUACCUUUCUGAAAGUACCUUACGAAUAAGGAUCGGCUAACUCCGUGCCAGCAGCCGCGGUAAUACGGAGGAUUCAAUCGUUAUCCGGAUUUAUUGGGUUUAAAGGGUGCGUAGGCGGUCGGAUAAGUUAGAGGUGAAAUCCCGGGGCUCAACUGCGGAAUUGCCUCUGAUACUGGUCGGCUAGAGAGUAGUUGCGGUAGGCGGAAUGUGUGGUGUAGCGGUGAAAUGCUUAGAGAUCAUACAGAACACCGAUUGCGAAGGCAGCAUACCAAGCUACGUCUGACGUUGAGGCACGAAAGCGUGGGUAGCAAACAGGAUUAGAUACCCGGGUAGUC